ACGCCCGUGGCUCAACCGGACAGAGCGCCUGCCUACGAAGCAGGAGGGUGCAGGUUCGAAUCCUGCCGGGCGUG
Transfer RNA from Kribbella flavida DSM 17836, 74 nucleotides. It matches the Rfam family "tRNA". Rfam says of the family: Transfer RNA (tRNA) molecules are approximately 80 nucleotides in length. Their secondary structure includes four short double-helical elements and three loops (D, anti-codon, and T loops). Lineage: Bacteria; Bacillati; Actinomycetota; Actinomycetes; Propionibacteriales; Kribbellaceae. The record is from Rfam.